UACGGAGGGAGCUAGCGUUGUUCGGAAUUACUGGGCGUAAAGCGCACGUAGGCGGCUUUUUAAGUCAGGGGUGAAAUCCCGGGGCUCAACCCCGGAACUGCCCUUGAAACUGGAGAGCUAGAAUCUUGGAGAGGCGAGUGGAAUUCCGAGUGUAGAGGUGAAAUUCGUAGAUAUUCGGAAGAACACCAGUGGCGAAGCGACUCGCUGGGACAAGUAUUGACGCUGAGGUGCGAAAGCGUGGGGAGCAAACAGG
This 253-nucleotide ribosomal RNA is filed under the name uncultured bacterium. Its description in RNAcentral is "partial 16S ribosomal RNA". It matches the Rfam family "Bacterial small subunit ribosomal RNA", at positions 524 to 776 of the family's 1533-position model. The record is from RNAcentral.